This 609-nucleotide ribosomal RNA is filed under the name uncultured bacterium. RNAcentral describes it as "bacterial SSU rRNA". It matches the Rfam family "Bacterial small subunit ribosomal RNA", at positions 73 to 700 of the family's 1533-position model. The record is from RNAcentral.
AGUUCCUUCGGGAGCGAUUAAAGUGGCGCACGGGUGAGUAACGCGUAGACAAUCUGCCCUUCAGUCUGGGACAACUUUUCGAAAGGAGAGCUAAUACCGGAUAACAAUGUUUAACAUAAGUUAAGUAUUUGAAAGCUUUAUGUGCUGAAGGAGGGGUCUGCGUCCCAUUAGCUAGUUGGUAAGGUAAAGGCUUACCAAGGCAACGAUGGGUAGCGGGUUUGAGAGGACGAUCCGCCACACUGGAACUGAGACACGGUCCAGACUCCUACGGGAGGCAGCAGUGGGGAAUAUUGCACAAUGGAGGAAACUCUGAUGCAGCAAUGUCGCGUGAGUGAAGAAGGCCCUUGGGUCGUAAAGCUCUUUUAUGGGGGAAGAUGAUGACGGUACCCCAAGAAUAAGCACCGGCUAACUAUGUGCCAGCAGCCGCGGUAAUACAUAGGGUGCGAGCGUUGUUCGGAAUUACUGGGCGUAAAGGGCGCGCAGGCGGAAUAGUAAGUCGGAGGUGAAAGCCCGGGGCUCAACCCCGGAGGGUCUUUCGAAACUGCUAAUCUAGAGAGGGUCAGGGGCCGGCAGAAUUCCUGGUGUAGAGGUGAAAUUCGUAGAUAUCAG